This 548-nucleotide ribosomal RNA is filed under the name Bistorta amplexicaulis. RNAcentral describes it as "eukaryotic LSU rRNA". The stretch from base 119 to 274 matches the Rfam family "5.8S ribosomal RNA". The record is from RNAcentral. Lineage: Eukaryota; Viridiplantae; Streptophyta; Magnoliopsida; Caryophyllales; Polygonaceae.
CCUCACACCAACGAACCCCGGCGCGGAUUGCGCCAAGGACCAUGAACAAUAGCGCGCCGCCCGCCACUCGGUCAUCCGGUGUGCGAGCGGCGACGUGUCGUUUCGAUACUAAAUGAACGACUCUCGGCAACGGAUAUCUCGGCUCUCGCAUCGAUGAAGAACGUAGCGAAAUGCGAUACUUGGUGUGAAUUGCAGAAUCCCGUGAACCAUCGAGUCUUUGAACGCAAGUUGCGCCCGAAGCCUUCGGGCCGAGGGCACGUCUGCAUGGGCGUCACGCACAGCGUCGCACCCACCCCACUCGUGGGGCGUGGGGCGGAUUCUGGCCCCCCGUGUGCUCCCGCGCGCGGUCGGCCUAAAAUCAGACCCCGUGGCCGCGAAAUGCCGCGACGAUUGGUGGUACUUAGCGGCCUCGUGCCGUCGAGCAUCGCGUCGCGUCUUACGUAGCCCUCGGGAGUCAAAGGACCCUCGGGAGCCCCCUGCUAGUGCGGAGGGGCCUCUCAACCGUGCGACCCCAUGUCAGGCGGAUACCCGCUGAGUUUAAGCAUAUC